This 366-nucleotide ribosomal RNA is filed under the name uncultured eukaryote. Its description in RNAcentral is "partial 18S ribosomal RNA". It matches the Rfam family "Eukaryotic small subunit ribosomal RNA", at positions 592 to 976 of the family's 1831-position model. The record is from RNAcentral.
CAAUAGCGUAUAUUAUUGAUGUUGCAGUUAAAACGCUCGUAGUCGCUUAUUUGCUGCAAAAUAUCCAUCUUUGUUUGAUAAGGGGGAUUGCAUGUCGCGCAUGCGAGAGGAAAGGGAAAGUAACUUUCCUUUUAACUCUGGUGUUUUACUUUGAGUGAAUUGGCGUGUUCCACGCAGGCUAAAAAGCCCUGAACAGUGCACCAUAGUAUAUAGACGGAAGAAGAAGCUUCCUUUGCCAAUCUGGAGGUUUUUUUGAAAAACAUAGGAACGGUGGAGGGUAUUUAUAUUCGACUGCUAGAGGUGAAAUUCUUUGACCAGUUGAGGAUGAACUAUGGCGAAAGCAUCUACCAAAGACGCUUCCUUUGA